UUUGACGUAGCGUUUGAGCGCGAAUCGUGAGCCAAUCGCAGGCUGCAGAGGGCGGAGCCUAAGCGCUUCAUUUAAUGUAUAGUCGCGGUUCGUUUUUCUUGCGAUUUCAUCGGCUAGUGUGUUGUGCAGUUCGCCAUGUCGAAAGAGGGCCAGCCACGAGAACCGGAGCAGCUCCGGAAGUUGUUCAUUGGGGGCCUCAGCUUCGAGACAACAGACGACAGCCUGCGCUCUUAUUUUGAGCAAUGGGGCACGUUAACCGACUGUGUGGUUAUGAGAGACCCGAACUCCAAGCGCUCCAGAGGCUUCGGUUUUGUCACAUACUCCUGUGUGGACGAAGUCGAUGCCGCCAUGCAGGCACGUCCUCACAAAGUCGAUGGUCGUCUUGUAGAGCCCAAACGUGCUGUGUCUAGAGAGGAUUCCAACAAACCUUUUGCACACACCACAGUGAAAAAGAUCUUUGUGGGUGGCAUUAAGGAGGAUACAGAAGAGAGCCACCUACGAGACUACUUCCAGGAAUUUGGAAAGAUCGAAGCAAUUGAAAUAAUGAUCGAUCAUAAGACUGGCAACAAAAGAGGCUUUGCGUUUGUUACGUUCGAUGAUCAUGAUGCUGUGGAUCGUAUCGUUAUUCAAAAGUACCACACAAUAAAUGGUCAUAAUUCAGAAGUGAGAAAGGCAGUGUCUAAACAAGAGAUGCAGAAUUCAUCAAUGAACAUGAGAGGACGUGGAGGUGGAAACUUCGGUGGACGAUAUGGCAACAAUGACUUUGGAGGAGGCAGAGAUGGAUUCAGAGACGGAUUCCGAGGAGGCAGAGGUGGUGGAUAUGGAGGUGGAGAUGGCUACAACAAUGGCUUUGGAGGCGAUGGUGGCUAUGGCGGUGGUGGCUCUGGCUAUGGGGGCAACCGCGGUGGAGGAUAUAGCGGAGGUGGACAAGGCUAUGGAAAUGGCGGUGGAGGAUAUGGUGGUGGAGGAUACAGUAGCGGUGGCAAUGGUUAUGACAACUAUAACAACGGCAACGGAAACUUUGGUGGUAACUUCGGAGGUGGAGGCGGCGGCGGUGGUGGUAGCAGCAACUACAGUGACUUCGGAAACUACAACAACCAGCAGUCAAGUUUUGGCCCCAUGAAAGGAAACUUUGGAGGAGGCGGCAGGAAUAGCGGCCCAUAUGGUGGUGGAUAUGGGGGUAGCUCAGGUGGAGGUGGAGGCUAUGGCGGAGGUUCUGGUGGAGGAUAUGGUGGAAACUCUGGCGGUAGACGAUAUUAAGUCCUUUAAAGAACAAGUGUUGGCCACCUGCUGGUUAGAUUGGCUAAAACAAAGCAGGUUAGCUUGUAUGACUGCCAAGACUAGCCAUGGAAGCAAGAUGAGAGAGGAGUAGGAAGACCAUCACCAUGAGAAGAAUCAGGGAGCGUUUGAGUACAGGUCGUCUCUGAAAGACUAGGAGAGAGCAACAGAUUGGCUUUAUUGCCUCCAGUAGGAAUGUGUGUGGGAUUUAUGAUCCAGAGUGGGGAUAUUUGCCUGUUUUUUCUGCAGGCAGUGUAAAGGACCAAAGACCUGUUGGGGUAGGGGGGGGACUUUUUAAGAGAUGUUUUUACUGCUUAAAAUAAAGCUUUUAUUGUUUUGUAAA
RNA transcript from Pangasianodon hypophthalmus (striped catfish), 1621 nucleotides. It is a transcript of the gene named heterogeneous nuclear ribonucleoprotein A1, with no coding region annotated. NCBI's taxonomy places the organism in Eukaryota, Metazoa, Chordata, Actinopteri, Siluriformes, Pangasiidae. The transcript has 13 exons. The record is from RefSeq and is a predicted model, not a curated record.